AAUUUUAAAUACUUGUUUGAAUUAAAGCAUGUACAGAAAAUACAUAAAAUAUAAUUGUGAAGCUCAGUGAGUCAUCAUGAAGGGAACCAAGGUAACCGUCACUAAGACCAUGAACUAGAAUUUUGCCCAUGUCCUGAAGCCUCCUUAGGUGGUAUUUUACAUUUUUUGAUGAUAUUGUAAAUAGUGUUGUUUGUUAAAUUUCACUAAUUAUAUUUAGCAUAUAAAAAUACAAUGAGAUCUGGGGGUGGGGAGGGCAAAGUGUGAAAAUGCUGCUUUGGAGACCUGAAUCCCAUAUCAUAAUACCUGGGUUCAAGUCCCUGCUCCAUUCUUGAUAACCAAUUCUAGUUUUCUGCUAGUGCACACCCUGGAAAGCAGCAGGUAAUGGCACAAUUACUUCAGUCUCUGCCACUCAUAUGGGAGACCUGAUUGAGUUCUCAUUCCUGGCUCAGCUCUUAAAGUUAUGUGGAGAGUGAACCAGAGAAAGAUCUUUCUUUGUCUUUGUCUCUGUACCUUUCUAAUGAAAUGGGAAUAAAUAAACAAAUACAUUUUUAAAAGAAAUACAAUUGAAUAUUGUAUGGUAACCUUGUAUUUAGCAGCCUUUCUUAAUUUAUUUUUUAAUUCUAGUAGUUUUGCUGUAUAUCAUAUAUUUGUUGCCUUGAAGAUUUAUUUACUUAUUUAUUUGUAAGGCAGAGUUACAGAGAGAGAUCUUCCAUCUGCUGGUUCACUCUCUAAAUAGCUGCACAGCCAGGCAGUGCAAGACCAAACUCAGGAGACUGGAGUUCCAUCCAGAUAUCCCAUCAGUGGCAAGGGCCCAAGCAUUUGGGCCAUCUUUUGCUGGUUUCUCAGGCACGUUAGCCGGGAGCUGGAUUGGCAGUGGAGCAGCUGACACUUGAACUGGCACUCUUAGGGGAUGCUAGCUAGCAUCACAAAGUGGCUGCUUAGCCCACUGUGCCACAAUGCCAACUCCUAAAAUAGGAUGGUUUAAAUAUAUUUUCUAGAAAAUUAUUUAUCUUCCCUCAAGCAUAAGGUUUCUGUUUCUUUUUUAUAUAGUCCAUACAUUCUUGAGUCUUUGCAAUUAUUUGUUGUUGAAAACGGGAUAUUUUGAAUAAUAUAAAUUAGCAACUCUAGAAAUCAGAUUCUGUUCUUCGGGAUUUGUUGUGAUAUUGGGCUUAUUGUACCUACUUGUUUUUUAGUGCCUUUUCUGACCUAAUUCUAUAAAGUCUGUGUUUUUUUGUCUUGUGUGGCCACUGAUGUCGCCAUUAUAUUAACUUAGUGAUCAACUAAUGAUUUUUACAGAUUUUCUUAAAUGCUUGGAACCAAUCUUCCAAUCUUUGCCAUGGGCUUUUUGUGUGUAUUUCUUUGUAACUCUGCCUGAACCUUCACUUCCUUCUUCCAGGAGCCUUAAAAUAGCUGCAGCAGUUGAGUUCUUUUCUUUCUUGACCGUGUGCACGUGUGCCUGAAGCCCUGAGUAUGCACUUGGCCUUCUAGAUUCCCAGGAAUGGCAGAACAUUUAUUCCUCAGGUGUCCUCAGAAACCUUUUCAUUAGUCUGUUUGCCCCAGCUGUUUUCUGUCUCCUCAGGCAGUUGUGAAUAAGAAAUUAUCCUGUAAGUGUUUGCAACAAAUAGCCCAAGGGAAGCAGCUUUAGCAUAAGGCCUGUCCUUUGUCUGAAUCCAUGUUCCAGGUAGCCUCCAAACAGAUCAGAUCAAGUAUUCACCAUUCUUUGCACAUUAGUUCAUUCUGUUCCCUCCAGUACCAUGAAUAAAUAUUGUUAUUUUCACAGAUGGUACUGAAAUAGGGAACAGAGGCCAAGACUGGGCUAAGUAGAGAUGCCACAAAGAUUGCUAUUCUUAUCAAUAAUCAGCUGUUUUUCCUGAAUUGUAUCUUACCCCUGGAACUGAAACCUUUGCUUUCCAGGGUUCAGUAAAGGUUCAUUAUUCUAAUAGUUAUUUUACCUUUUUUUUUUUAAUUUGAGACACAGAGAGCUCCCAUCCUCUGGUUCGCUCCCCAAAUACUCAGAAUGGCUAGGACUGGGCCAAACCAAAGCUGAAAUCCAAUAAUCCCAUCCAGUUCUCCAACUACUUGAGCCAUCACUGCUGCCUCCCAUGGUCCACAUUAACAGGAAACUGGAAUCAGGAGGCAGAGUCAGGAAUUAAGCCCUUGUACUCCAAUGUGAGACAUGUGAGGGUCCUAACCACUAGGCCAGACACCAACCCUCUUACCUGUUUUGUUUUGUUCUUUGCUUUUAUGGAAGAGUGGAAUUGUUAGUUCCUUAUGCUACUGGUUUCAAAGGCAUUUUAUAUUUUUCAAAAAUCAAGUUAAGGAAGUUCUCUUUCUAGCUUUGCUAAGAAUUUAUUACAAAUGAAUUGUCAAGUGUUAUGCCUUUCUCCAUCUGUUAAGAUUUUAUAUCAUUUUUCAUCUCUAUUUUGUUAAUGAAAUGGAUUAUAUUGAUUGGCUUUCCAAAAUCAGUGUUGCUUUCCUUUGAUGAACCUUGUUGGAUCCCAUGAAAUAUUAUCCUUUAGUACAUUUUUUUAUUUGCUUUGGUUUGCAAAUAUUUUGUUUAUGAUUUUUCUUGUGUAUUUAUGAGCAAGAUUGGCCUUUGAUUUUGUUUUCUUAUAAUAUCUUUGUCAGUAUAAAGGUGAAGGAUGUUUUCCCUCACCCUCUGAAGGUUUGGGCAUGCUAAAGUAAACUAGCACUAGAUUAACAGGGGAAGAUUCACAAGCUUAUUACUUGCAUGGGGUAAUCACCAGAGAAUGAUUACCCGUAACCUGUUGAGGUUCAGAGGCUUUAUACUCUUUUCAGGGGAGAGAGGCAGACGGGGAGGGAAAAUUGGUGACUUUGAGAGGUAGUAAAUGAUUUUUAGGGUAUUUAAAUGAGUCCAAAGAACAGACAAUAGCUUAUUACAAGUUUGUCUAGAUCUGGUAACAUCAGUGACUUUCCUUCAUGAAAUAUGUAUUUUAUCUUCCCUGUUUAAUGAAAUUUUCAGAAAGGGAAUGAAAAUAAUUGUGUUCCUUCCAGAAGAGCUUCAGAUGAGGGAACUUCAGGGGUGAGUUCUUUCCUAUGCUUUGGGAGAGAAGCAGGAGAUCAGAAAGUCUUUGGUUCUGGGAAUGCUUCUGAGACUUUUUGAGUUCUAUUCAAUUGUUUAGCAUGUCAGACUGCCAUAUUUUAGCAUGUUAUUUCUAAGCUGCAGUCUCAGGAACUUUUGAUGUUAAUCAUGUACUAAGCCUAUAAACUAUGAAUUCUUUCUUCUUUCUUGAAGUUUUUUUUUUCUUGAGGUAGCAUUUGGCACAGCAGUUGAGUACCUCUUGGAACACCUGCAUCCAGUUUCAGAGUCCCUGGGUUUUAGUCCUGGCUCUGCUUCUAAUCCAGCUUCCUGCUGGUAUGUACCCUGGGAGACAGUGGUGAUGGCUCAAGUAUCUGGGUCCCUGCCAAACAUGUGGGAGACCCAGAUUGAGUUCUGGGCUCCUGGCUUCAACUCUAGCCCAACCAAGACUGUUGCAGGCAUUUAGGGCGAAAACGAGCAGACUGAAUCAGUGUCCGUCCCUCCCUCCCAUCCUCCCAUUCUCCUUUCCCCCCCCCCCCCUUUCAAAUAAAUAAAUAAAUAAAUAGUUUUUACAGUUUUUAUUUUAUUUUUAUUUGACAGGUAGAGAUACAAACAGUGAGAGAGAGACAGACAGAGAGAGAAAGGUCUUCCUUCUGCUGGUUUACUCCCCAAAUGGCCGCCACAGCCAGCGUUGCGCCAAUCCGAAGCCAGGGCCAGGUGCUUCUUCCAGGUCUCCCAUGUGGGUGCAGGAGCCCAAGCACUUGGGCCAUCCUCCACUGCCCUCCCGGGCCACAGCAGAGAGCUGGACUGGAAGAGGAGCAACCGGGACUAGAACCUGGCGCCCAUAUGGGAUGCCGGCGCCACAGGUGGAGCCAAGUGAGCCACGGCGCCGGCCCAAUACAGUUUUUAUUUUUAAAUAAUUGUAGAUUAAUAGGAAGUUGCAAAGACAGUAUAGAGAGUUCCUACCUUCCAUUCAGUUUUCCCUAACACUUUAUGUAACUACAGGAUAAUGUCAGAACCAGGAAAUUGAUAUCAAUCCAAUGGCUGUGUAUUGUUGUACGUCAUUUUAUCAUUUUACCUGUAAAUUUGUUUGCCACAAAUGCAUUCAAGAUACAAAAAUCUCUCUUUACCACAAAGUUGUCACUCCUCUUUGUCUUUUGUAAUCACACUCAUCUCCUUCUCACCAUCCUUUAUUUUUAUGAUUUCAAUAUUUAUUUAUUUGGAAGAGUGUGAGACACACACAGAAAGAGAGAAGAGAGAGAGAAAUCUUCCAUCUUUCCGUCUUCUGAUUUACUCCCCCAAGUGAAUGCAACAGCCAUAUCCAGGAGCCAGGAAAUCCAUCAAGGUCUCCGACAUGGGCGGCAGGGACGCAUGUACCUUAGCUGUCUGCUAUUGCUUCUCAGGUGCAUCAGCAGGGAACUGGUUCAAGUGAGGUAGCCAGGACUCAAUCCAGGCACUCCAGUAUGGGAUACAUCGAAAGUGGAAAUUUAGAUGCUGUGCCACAAUGUCCACCCCUGAUUCUUAACCUGUGACAACCACUAAUUUUUUCUGUGUCUCUACAAUGUUUUGUCAUUUGGAGAAUAAAAGCGGAAUUAUUCAGUAUGUGAUCCCUUGAGGUUGUCUUCCUUUACUCAUCAUGUUGCCCUGAGAUCCAUUCAAAUAUUUGAGUGUAUCAGUAACUUGUUUUACUUUAUUGUUGAGUAAUAUUCCAUGGUAUGCCUGUACUAUAGUUGAUUUAAUUAUUAUUCUAUUUAAGAAGAUUUUGAUGGCUUCCAGAUUUUACCUGCAAAGAACAAAAUUACACCAGUCUAGUUUAAGGAUUUUGAUUGGCUUUGUAUUUAAUCUAAAAUCAGGUAACAUUUUAUUCCAUAAAAUAGAAUACAUGUUUUCAAUGGGUUGAGCAGAAGGGAUUGGUUCUAUAAGCAUAAAAGGUCUGAAUAAAGCAAAAAACAAAAACAAAAUGUGAAUUGGUAAUUUUAUUUUUACUUAUUUUCAUUUAUUUGAAAGACAGUUCACAUAGGUGGCAGGCAUCUAAGUCCUUCAGCCAGCAUCUGCUGCCUCCUAGAGUGUGCAUUAGCAGGACACUGGAUUGGAAGCAGAGUCAAGACUUAAUUGUGGGAUGCAGGCAUCCCAACCAGUGUCUUAGCUAUUAGACCAAACACCUGCCCCUGUUCAUUUUAAAGUUACUUUCUGAGAAGGUAGGGAUAGGAAGACAGAACGUUAAAACAUGGUGCACUUCAUUGUUACACCAAUUGAAACUAGCUUGUUUGGGAAAUUUAUUCUCUCUCUCAUCCUGAUUUUUUUGGAAGAUUAGGUAAACAAUUUAGUUUCAAUUGUGAAUGACUCUAUUUUGACUUUUAGUUUGGUUUGUUGGAGCCCAAUGCAAAACUUUGUCCAAAAUAAUGGUCUCCUGUAACUUUUAUUUAGCAUGCCUGGUAUAAUCAAACUGCUAUAAACAGUUUUUUGUUUGAACAUAAGAUUUCAAGUCUCUUACAUGUAUAUUUAGAAGUGGAAUUGAUGGAUGAUAUGGUAGUUGUAUGUUUAACAUUUGGAGGAACUGGCCAACUUUUUUUUCAAAGUAUCUGCACCAUUUUACAUUUCUACCAACAGUAUAUGAAAUGUUCAGUUUCUUUGCAUUCUUAGCAGCAUUUGGCAUUGUCACUCUCUUUUAUUCUACCUAUUCUAAUAGGUAUGUGGCGAUAUUCUCCUCGUGUUUUAAUUUCUAUUUCUCUAAUGACUGGUUAUGGUGAAUAUCUUUUCAUGGGCUUAAAUAUCUUCCUUGUUGAAAUAUUUCAUAAUUUGUUUUUCUUUUUUUUUCUAAUUGAGUUGUUUAUUAUUUUUGCUAUUGAAUGUUGAGAAUUCUUUAUAUAUUCUAGAUAUGGGUCCUUUAUCAGAUUUUUGGCUUUUGUGCACAAAUAUAUUUUCCCAGUUAGAAACUCUGCUUAACAGGGUCUUUGGCAUAGUUGCGAUAAAGUCCAGUUUCAUACAUUUUUUCCUGUAUGGAUUGUGGUUUUAGAGCAUACCAAAGAACUUUCGACCAUGCCACAGGUACCAAAGAGUUUCUCCUCUGUUUUCUUUUAAAUGUUUUGUAAUUCUUUAUUUUAUAUUAUGUAUACAACCCAAUUUGAGUUAUGUUUGUAGAAGAUGUGAGUUUUAUGCCAAUAUUGGAUGGGGGGGAACAGUUGCCUAUAAAUAAUUCAAUUAUUUUAGCAUCAUUUAUUUAAAACUGUCUUGUUUGUUCUUUAAUUUUAUUCUGUAGGAAAGUUACAGAAGAUUGGAGUUAUUUUUUCCAUAAAUAUUUAGGAGCAGUCACUGCUAAAGCCAUCUGGGCUUUCUUGGAGGGAUGAUUUUUAAUUGAGAUCUCUUUUCUUUUAUUAUAUGAUCAUUCAGAUUUUAUAUUUCUUUCUGUGUUCAUUUGGAUAAGUUGUGUUUUUACCAGGAAUCUGAACUUGCUUAAUUGUGAAACUGGCAUAAAGUCAUUAAUCAUAUUAUCUUAUUUUAAUUUAAUUUUUAUAGCUGUUGCUAUCCAAUAGAACUUUGUGCAGUUGUGCAAAUAUUCUGUAUCUCUGCAGUCUUACAUGGUAUGUGGCUAUUGAGCACUUGAAAUUUGGCUAAUGUGACUGAGAGAUGGACUUGUGAUAUUAUUGCCUUGUAAAUAAUUCAGAUUUUUCUUUAAAUAGCUUCAUGUGACUAGUGGUAACAUAUUAUGCAGCUCACAUCUAUAGAGGCUAUAAUGAUGUCCUUUUCAUUACUGAUAUUGAAUAUUUGUAUUUUCUCAUAUUCUUUGUAUCUUUUUUCUCCUUUUAAUUGUUACUAGUCUUUUAAAAUACAAUCUUUUGCUUUUUUAUCUGUAUUUUGCUUUUUAUGAUUCCUGUUUUUAUUUCCUCAUUGUACUUUCUUUGAGUUGAAUCUAUAAUUCUUAAGAAUCUAACCUCUAAGCCGGCGCCGCGGCUCACUAGGCUAAUCCUCCACCUUGCGGCGCCGGCACACCGGGUUCUAGUCCCGGUCGGGGCGCCGGAUUCUGUCCCAGUUGCCCCUCUUCCAGGCCAGCUCUCUGCUGUGGCCAGGGAGUGCAGUGGAGGAUGGCCUAAGUCCUUGGGCCCUGCAGCCAGCCGCAUGGGAGACCAAGAGAAGCACCUGGCUCCUGGCUUUGGAUCAGUGCGCUGUGCCGACCGCAGCGACCACUGGAGGGUGAACCAACGGUAAAGGAAGACCUUUCUCUCUGUCUCUCUCUCUCACUGUCCACUCUGCCUGUCAAAAAAAGAAGAAACAACUUUAGCUAUAAAAUCAUAGUUUUGAUAUUUUAUGUUCUCAUUUACUGUUCAAUUAAAAUACUUCUAAUGCUUGUUGUGAUUGCUUCAUUGAUCCAUACACUUUAUGAAUGUAUUUCUUACAUAAACAUGAGAAUGUUGUAAUUAUCAUUUUAAAAAUUAAUUUCUAGUUUAAUUAUUUUGUGGUCAGAACAAGCUAUCCUUUGAAAUAUAUAUGGACUUCCCUAUGCCAACUAUUCUAAAUACCUUGCUAGUAUUGAAAUAAUUGUGUAGCUCUAGGUUCAGUAUUCUAUAUAUGUCAGAAUAUUUAUAUCUUUUUGAUGAAUCAAACCUUUUACCAAACUAAAUCUUUUCAUGUAUCUUUAGGAAUGUUCAUUUAGGAAUGUUUAAUUUUUCUCUAAAUAUAUAUAUUCUACCUUUCUUUUGAUUUAUGUUUGCAUGAUAUAUAUUUUUCCAUAUCCCAAUAUAUUAUAUUUAUAAUAUUGUUUUCUUAUAUAUUAGAUGUACUUCCUAUUAAUGUGCAUUUAAAAAUAUAACCUAACAGUAUUUGAAAUUUAUUUGAGUGUUUUUUCCAUUGUUAAUAAAUAAGUAAUUGUUGGUGUUUUGUAGUUUAAAUCUGCCGUCUCAGUAUUUUGUUGUUGGUUUUGGCCCUCCUUAUCUAUGUAUUUUACUCCUUCAUAUCUUAACUACUUGAGGAUUCAUUAAGUGUAAAUUUGAAAUGUACCCAUGCUUAGUUUAUCCUUUCUAGUGCUAAGUAAUAUUCUGUUGUAUGCAUACACAAUAGUUUUUUUUAUCUACUCAUCAGUUGAUGAAUACUUUUUUUAGUUUGGAGCUGUCAUAAGUAAAUCUGCUGUACACAUUCAUGUGCAAGUCUGUGUGGAUAUAUUCUUUCAUUUCUCUUGGGUAAAUGCCCAGUAGUAGAAUGAGUGGAACAUGAGAUAGGAAAGAAGCAGCAAUUGGCCAGCACCGUGGCUCACUAGGCUAAUCUUCCGCCUGCGGCGCCCGCAUCUGGGUUUCUAGUCCCAGUCGGGUCGCUGGAUUCUGUCCCGGUUGCUCCUCUUCCUGUCCAGCUCUCUGCUGUGGCCUGGGAGUGCAGUGGAGGAUGGCCCAAGUGCUUGGGCCCUGCACCCGCAUGGGAGACCAGGAGAAGCACCUGGCUCCUGCCUUCUGAUCAGCGUAGUGCGCCGGCCGCAGCGGCCAUUGGAGGGUGAACCAACGGCAAAGGAAGUCCUUUCUCUCUGUCUCUCUCUCUCACUGUCCACUCUGCCUGUCAAAAAAAAAGCAAUCUGUUUUCCAGGGUAGUUGGUCUUUAUGUUCCCACAGAGACAUAGACUGUCUUUAAAUUUCAGCCAUUCUGGUGGAUGUGUAGGAUUUCACUAUGAGUCUGACUUUCAGUUACCUCAUGAGUGAAUAAUAAUGCUGAGUAUUUUGUCCUGUGCUCAUUUGUUAUUUGAAUAUCUUCUUUUAUAAAGCAUCUGUUCAGAUCUAUUGCCCAGUUUGUAUCUAAGUUUUAAAGUUCUUUUUAUAUAUAAAAUACAAUUCUUCUUAUCACCUGUAUGUUUUGCAAUUCUAAUUUUAACUGGAAAUAUCUACUUGAAAGAAAUAUCUUUGAAGAACAAAUGUUUUUCUUUUUUUUUUUUUAUUUAUUUAAUGAAUAUAAGUUUCCAAAGUACGAAUAAUGGAUUACAAUGGCUUCCCCCCCAUACCGUCCCUCCCACCCACAACCCUCCCCUUUCCCACUCCCUCUCCCCUUCCAUUCACAUCAAGAUUCAUUUUCGAUUAUCUUAAUAUACAGAAGAUCAGCUUAGUAUACAUUAAGUAAAGAUUUCAACAGUUUGCACCCCCAUAGAAACACAAAGUGAAACUGUUUGAGUACUCGUUAUAGCAUUAAAUUUCAAUGCACAGCACAUUAAGGACAGAGAUCCUACAUGAGGAGUAAGUGCACAGUGACUCCUGUUGUUGACUUUACCAAUUGACACUCCUGUCUAUGGCAUCAGUAAUCUCCCUAUGCUCCAGUCAUGAGUUUCCAAGGCUAUGGAAGCCCUCUGAGUUCUCCGAUUCUUAUCUUGUUUAGACAAGGUCAUAGUCAAAGUGGAGGUUCUCUCCUCCCUUCAGAGAAAGGUACCUCCUUCUUUGAAGACCUGUUCUUUCCACUGAGAUCUCACUCACAGAGAUCUUUUGCCAGAGUGUCUUGGCUUUCCAUGCCUGAAAUACUCUCAUGGGCUUUUCAGCCAGAUCCGAAUGCCUUUAGGGCUUAUUCUGAGGCCAGAGUGCUAUUUAGGACAUCUGCCAUUCUAUGAGUCUGCUGAGUAUCUCGCUUCCCAUGUUGGAUCACUCUCCCCUUUAUUUAUUCUAUCGGUUAGUGUUAGCAGGUACUAGACUUGCUUAUGUGCUCCCUUUGACUCUUAGUCCUUUCAUUAUGAUCAAUUGUGAACUGAAAUUGAUCACUUGGACUAGUGAGAUGGCAUUGGUACAUGCCACCUUGAUGGGAUUGAAUUGGAGUACCCUGGUAUGUUUCUAACUCUACCAUUUGGGGCAAGUCAGCUUGAGCAUGUCCCAAAUUAUACAUCUCUUCCCUCUCUUAUUCCCACUCUUAUAUUUAACAGGGAUCACAUUUCAGUUAAUUUUCAACACUUAAGAAUAACUGUGUGAUAAUUACAGAAUUAAACCAGUCAUAUUAAGUAGAACAGACAAAAAAAAAUACUAAGAGGGAUAAUGUAUUAAGUUGUUCAUUAACAGUCAGGGCUAUGCUGAUCAAGUCACCAUUUCUCAUAGUGUCCAUUUCACUUCAGGAGGUUUCCUUUUUGGUGUUCAGUCAGUUGUCACCGAUCAGGGAGAACAUAUGGUAUUUGUCCCUUUGGGACUGGCUUACUUCACUCACCAUGAUGUGUUCCGGAUUCCUCCAUUUUGUUGCAGAUGACUGGAUUUCGUUGUUUCUUACUGCGGUAUAGUAUUCUAAAGAAUACAUAUCCCAUAAUUUCUUUAUCCAGUCUACCGUUGAUGGGCAUUUAGGUUGGUUCCAGGUCUUGGCUAUUGUGAAUUGUGCUGCGAUAAACAUUAGGGUGCAGACCGUUUUUUUGUUUGCCAAUUUAAACUCCUUUGGGUAAAUUCCAAGGAGUGGGAUGGCUGGGUCGAACGGUAGGGUUAUCUUCAGGUUUCUGAGGAAUCUCCAGACUGACUUCCAUAGUGGCUUGACCAGUUUGCAUUCCCACCAACAGUGGGUUAGUGUCCCUUUUUCCCCACAUCCUCGCCAGCAUCUGUUGUUGGUAGAUUUCUGUAUGUGAGCCAUUCUAACCGGGGUGAGGUGAAACCUCAUUGUGGUUUUGAUCUGCAUUUCUCUGAUUGCUAGUGACCUUGAACAUUUUUUCAUGUGCCUAUUGGCCAUUUGGAUUUCCUCUUUUGAAAAAUGUCUAUUGAGGUCCUUGGCCCAUCUCUUAAGUGGGUUGUUUUUUUUGAUGUUGUGGAGUUUCUUGAUCUCUUUGUAGAUUCUGGUUAUUAAUCCUUUAUCUGUUGCAUAGUUUGCAAAUAUUUUUUCCCAUUCUGUCGGUUGUCUCUUCACUCUCCUGACUGUUUCUUUUGCAGUAGAGAAACUUCUCAAUUUGAUGCAAUCCCAAUAGUUGAUUUUGGCUUUGACUGCCUGCGCCUCCCGGGUCUUUUCCAGAAAUUCUUUGCCUGUGCCAAUAUCUUGAAGGGUUUCUCCAAUGUUCUCUAAUAACUUGAUGGUGUCAGGACGUAGAUUUAGGUCUUUAAUCCACGUUGAGUGGAUUUUUGUGUAAGGUGUAAGGUAGGGGUCUUGCUUCAUGAUUCUGCACGUGGAAAUCCUGUUUUCCCAGCACCAUUUAUUGAAUAGACUGUCCUUGCUCCAGGAAUUGGUUUUAGAUCCUUGAUCAAAUAUAAGUUGGCUGUAGAUGUUUGGGUUGAUUUCUGGUGUUUCAAUUCUGUUCCAUUGGUCUGUCCAUCUGUUUCUGUACCAGUACCAUGAUGUUUUGAUUACAACUGCCCUGUAGUAUGUCCUGAAAUCUGGUAUUGUGAUGCCUCCGGCUUUGUUUUUGUUGUACGAGAUUGCUUUAGCUAUUCGAGGUCUCUUGUGCCUCCAUAUGAAUUUCAGCAUCAUUUUUUCUAGAUCUGAGAAGAAUGUCUUUGGUAUCUUGAUUGGGAUUGCAUUGAAUCUAUAAAUUGCUUUUGGGAGAAUGGACAUUUUGAUGAUGUUGAUUCUUCCAAUCCAUGAGCAUGGAAGAUUUUUCCAUUUUUUGGUAUCCUCUUCUAUUUCUUUCUUUAAGAUUUUGUAAUUCUCAUCGUAGAGAUCUUUAACAUCCUUGGUUAAGUUUAUUCCAAGGUAUUUGAUUGUUUUUGUAGGUAUUGUGAAUGGGAUUGAUCUUAGCAGUUCUUUCUCAGUCAUGGCGUUGCUUGUGUAUACAAAGGCUGUUGAUUUUUGUGCAUUGAUUUUAUAUCCUGCCACUUUGCCAAACUCCUCUAUGAGUUCCAAUAGUCUCUUAGUAGAGUUCUUUGGAUCCUCUAAGUAAAGAAUCAUAUCGUCUGCAAAAAGGGAUAGUUUGACUUCUUCCUUCUUGAUUUGUAUUCCUUUGAUUUCUUUUUCUUGUCUGAUGGCUCUGGCUAAUACUUCCAGAACUAUGUUAAAUAGCAGUGGUGAGAGUGGGCAUCCCUGCCUGGUGCCAGAUCUCAGUGGAAAUGCUUCCAACUUUUCCCCAUUCAAUAGGAUGCUGGCCGUGGGUUUUUCAUAAAUUGCUUUGAUUAUAUUGAGGAAUGUUCCUUCUAUACCCAAUUUGCUUAGAGUUUUCAUCAUGAAAGGGUGUUGAAUUUUAUCGAAUGCUUUCUCUGCAUCAAUUGAGAUAAUCAUAUGGUUUUUCUUCUGCAGUCUGUUAAUGUGGUGAAUCACAUUGAUUGAUUUGCGAAUGUUGAACCAUCCCUGCAUACCAGGGAUGAAUCCCACUUGGUCUGGGUGGAUGAUUUUCCUGAUGUGUUGUUGUACUCUAUUGGCCAGAAUUUUAUUGAGGAUUUUUGCGUCUGUGUUCAUCAGGGAUAUUGGUCUGUAAUUUUCUUUCAAUGCUGCAUCUUUUUCCAACUUAGGAAUUAAGGUGAUGCUGGCUUCAUAGAAAGAAUUUGGGAGGAUUCCCUCUUUUUCGAUUGUUCUGAA
Oryctolagus cuniculus (rabbit) is the source of this 12466-nucleotide non-coding RNA. Lineage: Eukaryota; Metazoa; Chordata; Mammalia; Lagomorpha; Leporidae. The record is from RefSeq and is a predicted model, not a curated record.